Molecule: ribosomal RNA, 455 nt
Filed under: Phoberus herminae
Lineage: Eukaryota; Metazoa; Arthropoda; Insecta; Coleoptera; Trogidae
Description: partial 16S ribosomal RNA
Rfam family: Bacterial large subunit ribosomal RNA
Source: RNAcentral
CAAAAACAUGUCUUUUUGAUUAUAAUUUAAAGUCUAACCUGCCCAAUGAUUAUUAAUUUAAUGGCCGCGGUAUUUUGACCGUGCUAAGGUAGCAUAAUAAUUAGUUUUUUAAUUGAGAACUAGAAUGAAUGGUUGGACAAAGAAAAUUCUGUCUCAAAUUUAAUUUAAUUAGAAUUUUAUUUUUAAGUAAAAAAGCUUAAAUAAUUUUAAAAGACGAGAAGACCCUAUAGAGUUUAAUAUUAUUUAAUAUAUGUAAUUUUAGGAAUUAUAAAUUUGAUAUAUUAAGUAUUAUUUUGUUGGGGUGACUAAAAAAUUUAAUAAACUUUUUUUAUCUAAGUUCAUUGAUUGAUGAUUUUGUGAUCCAUUAUUUAUGAUUAUAAGAUUAAAUUACCUUAGGGAUAACAGCGUAAUUUUUUUUAAGAGUUCUUAUCGAAAAAAAAGAUUGCGACCUCGAU